UGGGGAAUUUUGGACAAUGGGCGAAAGCCUGAUCCAGCAAUGCCGCGUGUGUGAAGAAGGCCUUCGGGUUGUAAAGCACUUUUGUCCGGAAAGAAAUCCUUGGCUCUAAUACAGUCGGGGGAUGACGGUACCGGAAGAAUAAGCACCGGCUAACUACGUGCCAGCAGCCGCGGUAAUACGUAGGGUGCAAGCGUUAAUCGGAAUUACUGGGCGUAAAGCGUGCGCAGGCGGUUUGCUAAGACCGAUGUGAAAUCCCCGGGCUCAACCUGGGAACUGCAUUGGUGACUGGCAGGCUAGAGUAUGGCAGAGGGGGGUAGAAUUCCACGUGUAGCAGUGAAAUGCGUAGAGAUGUGGAGGAAUACCGAUGGCGAAGGCAGCCCCCUGGGCAAUACUGACGCUCAUGCACGAAAGCGUGGGGAGCAAACAGGAUUAGAUACCCUGGUAGUCCACGCCCUAAACGAUGUCAACUAGUUGUGGGGAUUCAUUUCCUUAGUAACGUAGCUAACGCGUGAAGUUGACCGCCUGGGGAGUACGGUCGCAAGAUUAAAACUCAAAUGAAUUGACGGGGUCA
RNAcentral lists this ribosomal RNA (571 nucleotides) under uncultured bacterium. RNAcentral describes it as "partial 16S ribosomal RNA". It matches the Rfam family "Bacterial small subunit ribosomal RNA", at positions 355 to 921 of the family's 1533-position model. The record is from RNAcentral.